RNAcentral lists this ribosomal RNA (921 nucleotides) under Triticum aestivum (bread wheat). Its description in RNAcentral is "partial small subunit ribosomal RNA". The record is from RNAcentral. Lineage: Eukaryota; Viridiplantae; Streptophyta; Magnoliopsida; Poales; Poaceae.
GUGUAUUUGGAUUUGAAGGAUAUUUUCUGGUGGAGAGUAAAGGCAGAGCAUCAGAAGCCAGCAGGAUUGUUACAACCAUUGCCGAUACCCGAGUGGAAGUGGGAUAAGCUAGGCAUGGAUUUUAUCACAGGAUUGCCCAGGACUCGUUCAGGCUAUGACUCGAUUUGGGUUGUAGUUGAUCGAUUGACGAAAGUAGCUCAUUUCAUCCCGGUAAAGACCACUUACACCAGUGCUAAGUUGGCAAAGAUAUACAUGACCAGGAUCGUAUGUCUGCAUGGAGUUCCAAGGAGUAUCGUAUCAGAUAGAGGAACCCAGUUUACCUCAAAGUUCUGGAAGCAGUUGCAUGAAACUUUGGGAACCAGGCUAGAAUUCAGUACAACUUUUCAUCCACAGACAGAUGGACAGAUCGAGAGAGUCAAUCAGAUUUUGGAGGAUAUGCUGCGAGCUUGUGCGCUAGAUUACGGAUCUAGUUGGGACGAUAAUUUGCCAUAUGCAGAGUUCUCUUACAACAAAAGUUACCAAACCAGUUUAAAGAUGGCCCCUUUCGAAGCAUUGUACGGAAGGAGGUGCAGGACACCGCUGUCAUGGGACGAAGUUGGAGACCGCCAGUUGUUUGGACCUAACUUGAUUAAAGAGUCUGAACAGAAGGUGAAGUUGAUUCGCAAUAGGCUCAAAGUAGCCCAGUCCAGACAGAAGAGUUAUGCGGAUUCUAAACGCAAGGAGACAGUUUAUGAAGUUGGAGAUAGAGCUUAUCUUCGAGUAUCUCCACUUCGGGGAACAAAGCGUUUUGAAGUUAAAGGGAAGUUAGCACCACGAUUUGUAGGACAAUAUCGAGUUUUGGAGCGUAUGGGAGAAGUGGCCUACAAGUUGGAAUUGCCCGAAGGAUUGUCAGGAGUACAUGAUGUGUUCCACGUUUCUCAA